GUUAUCCUUCGGGGUCGGGUGAAAGUCCCAACCGGCGGUGAUGAGAUUAUGAAUCUCUAAGCCCGUGACCCGUUUUUGUGUUUUACAUUAGCGGUGGAUCUAGUUAAAAUCUAGAGCCGACAGUAUAGUCUGGAUGGGAGAAGGAUCAG
RNAcentral lists this non-coding RNA (149 nucleotides) under Priestia koreensis. RNAcentral's name for it is "Bacillus koreensis FMN sequence". It matches the Rfam family "FMN riboswitch aptamer (RFN element)". From Rfam's summary of the family: The RFN element is a highly conserved domain that is found frequently in the 5'-untranslated regions of prokaryotic mRNAs that encode for flavin mononucleotide (FMN) biosynthesis and transport proteins. This element is a metabolite-dependent riboswitch that directly binds FMN in the absence of proteins. Lineage: Bacteria; Bacillati; Bacillota; Bacilli; Caryophanales; Bacillaceae. The record is from Rfam by way of RNAcentral.